CACUAGCCAGGCCCACUUUUGGUCAUGGCUAGGGGUGUUACGGAGGAAGGUAUAAAAGAUUGAACAGCGGAAGUCUCGUUCUCUUUCCCGGCUUUCUGGCUUCCAGUUCGGCGAUGGAAAACUACAUCAUUUUGGUGUCAGAAGUUCCAGAACCUGGAUCCAGGCACCUAGAAAGCAUCUGCUCCUCGGCCCAACCACCGCCGGCCCCAGGCACACAUGGGCUCUCCUUUCGCUAAGUUCCCCACCACUUCGUUCAGCAAGGCACGAUUCCCACCACCGGGAACCAGUACCUUCAACCUGCUGGAAAGCCCACGUCUGUGUCACACUUCUUCUCUGAGAGGCUCAGGAUCAGUGUGGAAGAGAAGGAAGAAAGAGUGUAAGAACUAGAGGUGUUGGAUAGCUACAAACAAACACGGUCUUCUGGACAUGGGAGGGCAGUGGUUAUGACGGAAUUCACGAGAGCUGUGCAAGCUUCAGCCAGGAAAUAAGAUACUGUGGAUUCAUUCUGUGUUAAGAAAAUUAAAGUUUUAUUGAGGAAGACUCCUUGAAAUAUCUCCAAAGGGAACAGAUGACCCAGAUGGUCCAACAUUUCAGAGUACCUCUGUUUCAGUUUCUCCUGAAUUCUGCAUCCAAAACAACUUCAAGGCUGCUGGUUGAGAUGAUCCAGCCUCACAGAAUACUUCCCAGUUAAUACUUGGCCAUAAUCCUAAAUUUUCUUUGGCUCCCCAAAGGAUUACCCGCACCCUCAAUUUGCAGAAUGUAACCUAGAAAACUACACCCACAUUCCCAAAAAUGGAUUAUGGAUAUUU
Mesocricetus auratus (golden hamster) is the source of this 809-nucleotide long non-coding RNA. RefSeq lists it as uncharacterized. The record is from RefSeq and is a predicted model, not a curated record. The transcript is spliced from 4 exons. Lineage: Eukaryota; Metazoa; Chordata; Mammalia; Rodentia; Cricetidae.